Molecule: long non-coding RNA, 540 nt
Filed under: Actinia tenebrosa (Australian red waratah sea anemone)
Lineage: Eukaryota; Metazoa; Cnidaria; Anthozoa; Actiniaria; Actiniidae
Description: uncharacterized LOC116294938
Source: RNAcentral
UUAGAUGAAGGAUUCAUUUCAUUCCAAGCCAGUUAUAAAAAUUCGCAUCUUCAAGCUUAGCUUCUAAGUAUGACAGCAGCGAUGAAAAUGGUUCUUGUUUUUGCGUUUCUUAUUUUGGUUCUUUCAACAGACUGGGCCUUAGGAAUUCGAAAUCUCGCGAGGAUCAACAAAGGAAAGCGAAACUCGAUCCACUCUUGCCAGCAUGGGACGGAUCUAGAUGCUGACUGUUUCCGGAGCAUAGUCUGUAGUGCUGCGCGGCAAAUGAGAUGCUAUAGUUCAGAAACUAUUAACAUCACGAACUAGUAGACGAACUUGGAAAGCAUCGUGCAUAUCUGAUCCCUCAAAUUUGACAAUCUCUGGAACUAGACGAGCCAAUUAUACAGCUAUAUUGUUUAUAAUUUAAUGAUAUAUAAUAAGAUUGUUAAAAUUAUUCUAAAACUUAAAAUCUAUACUUUCAUCGAAGGACGAGAUACUUAUGUAUUGAUAAAUAGGCUAAAGCUUUAGCUGUUAUAAUUGCAAUAAAAACUAGAUUGUUGAUAA